Molecule: ribosomal RNA, 478 nt
Filed under: uncultured bacterium
Lineage: Bacteria
Description: partial 16S ribosomal RNA
Rfam family: Bacterial small subunit ribosomal RNA
Source: RNAcentral
GACGAACGCUGGCGGCGUGCUUAACACAUGCAAGUCGAACGUGAUUUUUGUGGAAAUUCUUUCGGGAAUGGAAAUGAAAUGAAAGUGGCGAACGGGUGAGUAACACGUGAGCAACCUACCUUACAUAGGGGGAUAGCCGUUGGAAACGACGAUUAAUACCGCAUGAGACCACAGAAUCGCAUGAUAUAGGGGUCAAAGAUUUAUCGGUGUAAGAAGGGCUCGCGUCUGAUUAGCUAGUUGGAAGGGUAAAGGCCUACCAAGGCGACGAUCAGUAGCCGGUCUGAGAGGAUGAACGGCCACAUUGGAACUGAGACACGGUCCAAACUCCUACGGGAGGCAGCAGUGGGGAAUACUGCACAAUGGGGGGAACCCUGAUGCAGCGACGCCGCGUGAGCGAAGAAGGUUUUCGAAUCGUAAAGCUCUGUCCUAUGAGAAGAUAAUGACGGUAUCAUAGGAGGAAGCCCCGGCUAAAUACGUG